CCUACGGGUGGCAGCAGUGGGGAAUAUUGCACAAUGGGGGAAACCCUGAUGCAGCGACGCCGCGUGAGUGAGGAAGUAUUUCGGUAUGUAAAGCUCUAUCAGCAGGGAAGAAAAUGACGGUACCUGACUGAGAAGCCCCGGCUAACUACGUGCCAGCAGCCGCGGUAAUACGUAGGGGGCAAGCGUUAUCCGGAUUUACUGGGUGUAAAGGGAGCGUAGACGGCUAAUCAAGUCAGAAGUGAAAACCCAGGGCUCAACCUUGGGACUGCUUUUGAAACUGAGUAGCUAGAGUGCAGGAGAGGUAAGCGGAAUUCCUAGUGUAGCGGUGAAAUGCGUAGAUAUUGCGCAGAACUCCGAUUGCGAAGGCAGCAUGCCGGCUCCACACUGACGCUGAGGCACGAAAGCGUGGGUAUCGAACAGGAUUAGAUACCCCAGUAGUC
This 440-nucleotide ribosomal RNA is filed under the name uncultured bacterium. RNAcentral describes it as "partial 16S ribosomal RNA". It matches the Rfam family "Bacterial small subunit ribosomal RNA", at positions 338 to 795 of the family's 1533-position model. The record is from RNAcentral.